RNAcentral lists this unclassified non-coding RNA (219 nucleotides) under Hevea brasiliensis (rubber tree). Lineage: Eukaryota; Viridiplantae; Streptophyta; Magnoliopsida; Malpighiales; Euphorbiaceae. The record is from RNAcentral.
GGCGCGAUCUCGGCGCUACAGACAAAAUCUUCAGCCUCACAGUUGCCAGGUCUGCGCAAGCGUACGAUCUGCAGGUGAGGACGACUCUAAAGAGCCGUUGCGUAGCAGCGUGGGAGAGAGGAUGAGGGUGAGGGAGACGCGGGAGAGAGGGAGAGAGAGGGAUAGAGACGCAAGGGGGAGAGAGCGUGGGGAGGGUCGCGUUUCCAUUUUGGGUGUCUG